GAAAUGCGAUAAGUAAUGUGAAUUGCAGAAUUCAGUGAAUCAUCGAAUCUUUGAACGCACAUUGCGCCAGCCAGUAUUCUGGCGGGCAUGCCUGUCCGAGCGUCAUUUCAACCAUCAAGCCCCCGGGCUUGUGUUGGGGACCUGCGGCUGCCCGCAGGCCCUGAAAACCAGUGGCGGGCUCGCUGUCACACCGAGCGUAGUAGCAAUCACCUCGCUCAGGGCGUGCUGCGGGUUCCGGCCGUUAAACAGCCUUACAAAACCCAAGGUUGACCUCGGAUCAGGUAGGAAGACCCGCUGAACUUAAGC
This 306-nucleotide unclassified non-coding RNA is filed under the name plant metagenome. Its description in RNAcentral is "partial contains 5.8S ribosomal RNA, internal transcribed spacer 2, and large subunit ribosomal RNA". The stretch from base 1 to 105 matches the Rfam family "5.8S ribosomal RNA", at positions 50 to 154 of the family's 154-position model. The record is from RNAcentral.